RNAcentral lists this ribosomal RNA (445 nucleotides) under uncultured bacterium. Its description in RNAcentral is "partial 16S ribosomal RNA". It matches the Rfam family "Bacterial small subunit ribosomal RNA", at positions 354 to 796 of the family's 1533-position model. The record is from RNAcentral.
GUGAGGAAUAUUGGUCAAUGGACGGAAGUCUGAACCAGCCAUGCCGCGUGCAGGAAUAAGGUCCUAUGGAUUGUAAACUGCUUUUAUUCGGGAAUAAACCUCUUUACGUGUAGGGAGCUGAAGGUACCGAAGGAUUAAGCACCGGCUAACUCCGUGCCAGCAGCCGCGGUAAUACGGAGGAUCCAAGCGUUAUCCGGAAUCAUUGGGUUGAAAGGGUCCGUAGGCGGGUCUGUAAGUCAGUGGUGAAAUCUCCCGGCUCAACAGGGAAACUGACAUUGAUACUGCAGGUCUUGAAUGUUUGUGAAGUAACUAGAAUAUGUAGUGUAGCGGUGAAAUGCUUAGAUAUUACAUGGAAUACCGAUUGCGAAGGCAGGUUACUAACAAAUGAUUGACGCUGAUGGACGAAAGCGUGGGGAGCGAACAGGAUUAGAAACCCCGGUAGUCC